UGCUAUUGCAAGUGAGAGUCUCCUGCCUGAGGUAAAAUACUUUAAAACAAAUGACUUUACAUAUUUAUCAGAUCAUGUUCAAAUAAACUUAUAUAUGAAUUGUUCUAUUAUAUCAGAUACAUGUAUAAAGAAAUGUUUAGAUGAAAAGAGAUGGCAUUUGAUAAAAUCAUACAAAUGGACAGAAUUGUCAUCUUCAAAAUUAAUUGAUGUUCUAUCAACAGAAAAUGUUAAAAAGGAAAUUUUAGAUUUAGAGAUGCAACAUUUUGAUAGCAAUAAACUAGGCGUUGAUGGUGCAACUGAAAAACUUACCAAAAUUAUACAAACUAUUGCAGAAAAUACAUGUAAAGUCAUAUCUAAACCAACAAAAAG
Molecule: long non-coding RNA, 369 nt
Filed under: Mytilus galloprovincialis (Mediterranean mussel)
Lineage: Eukaryota; Metazoa; Mollusca; Bivalvia; Mytilida; Mytilidae
Source: RNAcentral